CAGUAGCCGCGGGAAUACGGAGGGGGCUAGCGUUGUUCGGAAUUACUGGGCGUAAAGCGCACGUAGGCGGCUUUGUAAGUCAGAGGUGAAAGCCCGGGGCUCAACCCCGGAAUUGCCUUUGAGACUGCAUCGCUUGAAUCCAGGAGAGGUGAGUGGAAUUCCGAGUGUAGAGGUGAAAUUCGUAGAUAUUCUGAAGAACACCAGUGGCGAAGGCGGCUCACUGGACUGGUAUUGACGCUGAGGUGCGAAAGCGUGGGGAGCAAACAGGAUUAGAUACCCCGGUAGUCCCUGUCUCUUAUAC
RNAcentral lists this ribosomal RNA (301 nucleotides) under uncultured bacterium. RNAcentral's name for it is "partial 16S ribosomal RNA". It matches the Rfam family "Bacterial small subunit ribosomal RNA", at positions 509 to 807 of the family's 1533-position model. The record is from RNAcentral.